This 85-nucleotide transfer RNA is filed under the name Caudoviricetes sp. RNAcentral describes it as "tRNA-OTHER". The stretch from base 24 to 85 matches the Rfam family "tRNA". Rfam says of the family: Transfer RNA (tRNA) molecules are approximately 80 nucleotides in length. Their secondary structure includes four short double-helical elements and three loops (D, anti-codon, and T loops). Lineage: Duplodnaviria; Heunggongvirae; Uroviricota; Caudoviricetes. The record is from RNAcentral.
GGGGACGAUAAACGGACAGCACAGAGGACGUGUUUGGUAAAGCAUAUGGACGUCAUAUGUGUGGGUUCGAUUCCCACCGUCCUCA